This 66-nucleotide transfer RNA is filed under the name Ictidomys tridecemlineatus (thirteen-lined ground squirrel). Its description in RNAcentral is "Spermophilus tridecemlineatus (thirteen-lined ground squirrel) tRNA". It matches the Rfam family "tRNA". From Rfam's summary of the family: Transfer RNA (tRNA) molecules are approximately 80 nucleotides in length. Their secondary structure includes four short double-helical elements and three loops (D, anti-codon, and T loops). The record is from Rfam by way of RNAcentral. Lineage: Eukaryota; Metazoa; Chordata; Mammalia; Rodentia; Sciuridae.
GGUAUAGCUCAGUUGGUAGAGAGCUUGUCUCCCAAGCACAAGGCCCUGGGUUCAAUCCCCAGCACC